UGGAGCCAACCUUGAAAUACCACCCUGGCAACUUUGAGGUUCUAACUCAGGUCCGUUAUCCGGAUCGAGGACAGUGUAUGGUGGGUAGUUUGACUGGGGCGGUCUCCUCCUAAAGAGUAACGGAGGAGUACGAAGGUGCGCUCAGACCGGUCGGAAAUCGGUCGUAGAGUAUAAAGGCAAAAGCGCGCUUGACUGCGAGACAGACACGUCGAGCAGGUACGAAAGUAGGUCUUAGUGAUCCGGUGGUUCUGUAUGGAAGGGCCAUCGCUCAACGGAUAAAAGGUACUCUGGGGAUAACAGGCUGAUUCCUCCCAAGAGU
Molecule: ribosomal RNA, 319 nt
Filed under: Prasinococcus capsulatus
Lineage: Eukaryota; Viridiplantae; Prasinodermophyta; Palmophyllophyceae; Prasinococcales; Prasinococcaceae
Description: partial Bacterial large subunit ribosomal RNA
Rfam family: Bacterial large subunit ribosomal RNA
Source: RNAcentral